Molecule: ribosomal RNA, 429 nt
Filed under: bacterium
Lineage: Bacteria
Description: partial 16S ribosomal RNA
Rfam family: Bacterial small subunit ribosomal RNA
Source: RNAcentral
UGGGGAAUAUUGGACAAUGGGCGGAAGCCUGAUCCAGCCAUGCCGCGUGUGUGAAGAAGGCCUUUUGGUUGUAAAGCACUUUAAGCGAGGAGGAGGCUACUUGGAUUAAUACUCUAGGAUAGUGGACGUUACUCGCAGAAUAAGCACCGGCUAACUCUGUGCCAGCAGCCGCGGUAAUACAGAGGGUGCGAGCGUUAAUCGGAUUUACUGGGCGUAAAGCGUGCGUAGGCGGCUUCUUAAGUCGGAUGUGAAAUCCCUGAGCUAACUUAGGAAUUGCAUUCGAUACUGGGAAGCUAGAGUAUGGGAGAGGAUGGUAGAAUUCCAGGUGUAGCGGUGAAAUGCGUAGAGAUCUGGAGGAAUACCGAUGGCGAAGGCAGCCAUCUGGCCUAAUACUGACGCUGAGGUACGAAAGCAUGGGGAGCAAACAGG